CAGCAGCCGCGGUAAUACAGAGGGUGCGAGCGUUAAUCGGAUUUACUGGGCGUAAAGCGUGCGUAGGCGGCUUUUUAAGUCGGAUGUGAAAUCCCUGAGCUUAACUUAGGAAUUGCAUUCGAUACUGGGAAGCUAGAGUAUGGGAGAGGAUGGUAGAAUUCCAGGUGUAGCGGUGAAAUGCGUAGAGAUCUGGAGGAAUACCGAUGGCGAAGGCAGCCAUCUGGCCUAAUACUGACGCUGAGGUACGAAAGCAUGGGGAGCAAACAGGAUUAGAUACCCCGGUAGUCCGUGUCUCUUAUAC
RNAcentral lists this ribosomal RNA (301 nucleotides) under uncultured bacterium. Its description in RNAcentral is "partial 16S ribosomal RNA". It matches the Rfam family "Bacterial small subunit ribosomal RNA", at positions 509 to 807 of the family's 1533-position model. The record is from RNAcentral.